UCCUACGGGACGCAGCAGUGGGGAAUAUUGGACAAUGGGGGGAACCCUGAUUCAGCGACGCCGCGUGAGUGAAGAAGUAUUUCGGUAUGUAAAGCUCUAUCAGCAGGGAAGAAAGAAAUGACGGUACCUGACUAAGAAGCCCCGGCUAACUACGUGCCAGCAGCCGCGGUAAUACGUAGGGGGCAAGCGUUAUCCGGAUUUACUGGGUGUAAAGGGAGCGUAGACGGCAGUGCAAGUCCGGAGUGAAAGCCCGGGGCUCAACCCUGGGAUUGCUCUGGAAACUGUAAAGCUGGAGUGCGGGAGGG
This 305-nucleotide ribosomal RNA is filed under the name uncultured bacterium. Its description in RNAcentral is "bacterial SSU rRNA". It matches the Rfam family "Bacterial small subunit ribosomal RNA", at positions 337 to 656 of the family's 1533-position model. The record is from RNAcentral.